This 514-nucleotide unclassified non-coding RNA is filed under the name Hevea brasiliensis (rubber tree). Lineage: Eukaryota; Viridiplantae; Streptophyta; Magnoliopsida; Malpighiales; Euphorbiaceae. The record is from RNAcentral.
AAAUAAUGCAAUGCUUAUAUUAGAUGUCCCAACUUCUAUAGACAGAGGAAUGACAACAGAAAUCUUCAAACCAUCUGGCCUGUAAGGAAAUAACAUAGGGCUCCUAGCAAAACACACACCCAUGCCAAAUAAAAAAUACAUGAAAGAAUUUAAGAGAAGAAUCAGGAACUUGCUCUUACUCCAUACAAUUCCCUUAAGGUCUCAAUUACUGGCCGGAAACCAGUCCUCAAAGGCAAAACUGAGACUGCUCGCAAGUGUUGUGCAUUACCAUUCUUGGGUUUUGACAGUGUCAUCUUAAACAUCUCCCCUUCUAGAAUUGUUCCAGCAUUGGCGGCAGCAAAAGGGUGAAUCUUGGCGAAGUCAAAAAACUCAUCAGCAGAGCAUCCAAACAAGACUCUAGCAGCCCUAUCAAAGCAUAUGACAUUAAGCACCUUGGUAUCAGUGGCUAUUGAAACCUGCCCACCAAAAGAAAAUGCCUAUUAAAAAAGAAAAAUCGAUUGCCUUUAAGACCCAC